UACAGAGGUCCCAAGCGUUGUUCGGAUUUACUGGGCGUAAAGGGCGCGUAGGCGGCCUCCGCAAGUCGACUGUGAAAUCUCCGGGCUUAACCCGGAACGGUCAGCCGAUACUGCGGGGCUAGAGUGCAGAAGGGGCAACUGGAAUUCUCGGUGUAGCGGUGAAAUGCGUAGAUAUCGAGAGGAACACCUGCGGCGAAGGCGGGUUGCUGGGCUGACACUGACGCUGAUGCGCGAAAGCUAGGGGAGCGAACGGG
RNAcentral lists this ribosomal RNA (254 nucleotides) under uncultured bacterium. Its description in RNAcentral is "partial 16S ribosomal RNA". It matches the Rfam family "Bacterial small subunit ribosomal RNA", at positions 524 to 776 of the family's 1533-position model. The record is from RNAcentral.